ACCCACCCGGGCAGACUUGCGCGAUUAAGGAAAGCAUCUGAUGUCUAUAUUUUUUGUCUGAGAUAUUUUGAUUUUAAGCAUAUUUUAUGUUGCCUGCACAUUAUAUCGCUUUUACUCAAAUUAUUAAAUAGUGAUUUUAUUCAUACCUAUUCGUAGCUCAAACUCUGGUAUGCACAAACAAAAUUCGACCUUGGCUUUGUUCCGUGGCUUAUAUAAGUCUGGCACAGUUCGGGCACAAGACUGCCAGUGUUUGAUUUCCUAUGAACAAUCAGCAACUCAACUAUGGCCAAUCGCUGUUACAAACUCUAACAUUUCCUAAGCUCAAGUUCUGGUAUGCACAAACAGGAUUCGACCUCGGCCUUGUUCCGCGGCAUAUAUAAGUCUGACACCUUUCGAGCAGUGUUUGGUAUAUUGCGUUUGCGCGAACACUGAUCGUUACAUCUGUAUUAAAUAUUUGCGUUAGUACAUAUUUCUCAUUUUUCAUAUUUCAUUUUUUUUUUUUGUUCCCUUAUUAUGCCAUAAACAAUCACUCGUAGAAAUACGUUAUUCGUAAGUGUUCAAGUAUGUUUUCCAAACAGAACGUAUAUUCGUAAAAACCCCGUUUCCCUGUGCGUAUUGUCAUUGACGACACGCGCAGGGCUACGGCUGGUUACGUUCCGCAGAAAUGACGAUUCGCGCGUACGUCAGAUCUAGUGAGCAAAUGGCACAGUUCCAGUGACUCUUAAGAGUUCCGCGUUACGGGUGUAUCGCUCUCGUUUGAGCUGCCCGUCUCGUGUGCCGCUGUAAUGAUCUGACAACGCGUGCGAUUCGAUUCUGAUCCGAUUAUUCGGUGGCUGCGACGUCGUUGAAUGACAUACGAAUCUGUUCGAAACGUUGUACACAUUACG
Molecule: long non-coding RNA, 887 nt
Organism: Rhopalosiphum padi (bird cherry-oat aphid)
Lineage: Eukaryota; Metazoa; Arthropoda; Insecta; Hemiptera; Aphididae
Exons: 3
Source: RefSeq, a predicted model, not a curated record